This 433-nucleotide ribosomal RNA is filed under the name uncultured bacterium. RNAcentral's name for it is "partial 16S ribosomal RNA". It matches the Rfam family "Bacterial small subunit ribosomal RNA", at positions 29 to 507 of the family's 1533-position model. The record is from RNAcentral.
AACGAACGCUGGCGGCAUGCCUAACACAUGCAAGUCGAACGAGACCUUCGGGUCUAGUGGCGCACGGGUGCGUAACGCGUGGGAACCUGCCCUUGGGUUGGGAAUAACUCCCCGAAGGGGGUCCUAAUACCGGUUAUUGUCUUGGGACCAAAGAUUUAUCGCCUUUGGAUGGGCCCGCGUUGGAUUAGCUAGUUGGUAGGGUAAAAGCCUACCAAGGCGACGAUCCAUAGCUGGUCUGAGAGGAUGAUCAGCCACACUGGGACUGAGACACGGCCCAGACUCCUACGGGAGGCAGCAGUGGGGAAUAUUGGACAAUGGGCGAAAGCCUGAUCCAGCAAUGCCGCGUGAGUGAUGAAGGCCUUAGGGUUGUAAAGCUCUUUUACCCGGGAUGAUAAUGACAGUACCGGGAGAAUAAGCUCCGGCUAACUCCGUG